This 502-nucleotide ribosomal RNA is filed under the name uncultured bacterium. Its description in RNAcentral is "partial 16S ribosomal RNA". It matches the Rfam family "Bacterial small subunit ribosomal RNA", at positions 30 to 523 of the family's 1533-position model. The record is from RNAcentral.
AUUGAACGCUGGCGGCAUGCUUUACACAUGCAAGUCGAACGGCAGCACGGGUGCUUGCACCUGGUGGCGAGUGGCGAACGGGUGAGUAAUGCACCGGAACGUAUCCAAUAAUGGGGGAUAACGCACCGAAAGGUGUGCUAAUACCGCAUACGCCCUGAGGGGGAAAGCGGGGGACCGAAAGGCCUCGCGUUACUGGAGCGGCCGAUGUCGGUUUAGCUAGUUGGUGAGGUAAAGGCUCACCAAGGCGAAGAUCCGUAGCUGGUCUGAACGGACGACCAGCCACACUGGGACUGAGACACGGCCCAGACUCCUACGGGAGGCAGCAGUGGGGAAUUUUGGACAAUGGGCGCAAGCCUGAUCCAGCCAUGCCGCGUGAGUGAAGAAGGCCUUCGGGUUGUAAAGCUCUUUCGCAAGGAAAGAAAACUCAUCUCCUAAUACGAGGUGAGGAUGACGGUACCUUGAUAAGAAGCACCGGCUAACUACGUGCCAGCCGCCGCGGUAA